RNAcentral lists this ribosomal RNA (253 nucleotides) under uncultured bacterium. RNAcentral's name for it is "partial 16S ribosomal RNA". It matches the Rfam family "Bacterial small subunit ribosomal RNA", at positions 524 to 776 of the family's 1533-position model. The record is from RNAcentral.
UACGUAGGUGGCAAGCGUUGUCCGGAUUUACUGGGUGUAAAGGGCGUGUAGCCGGGCUGACAAGUCAGGCGUGAAAAUCCGGGGCUCAACCCCGGAACUGCGUUUGAAACUGUCGGUCUUGAGUAUCGGAGAGGCAGGCGGAAUUCCUAGUGUAGCGGUGAAAUGCGUAGAUAUUAGGAGGAACACCAGUGGCGAAGGCGGCCUGCUGGACGACAACUGACGGUGAGGCGCGAAAGCGUGGGGAGCAAACAGG